GAUGAACGCUGGCGGCGUGCCUAAUACAUGCAAGUCGAGCGAACGGACGAGAAGCUUGCUUUUCUGAUGUUAGCGGCGGACGGGUGAGUAACACGUGGAUAACCUACCUAUAAGACUGGGAUAACUUCGGGAAACCGGAGCUAAUACCGGAUAAUAUUUUGAACCGCAUGGUUCAAAAGUGAAAGACGGUCUUGCUGUCACUUAUAGAUGGAUCCGCGCUUCAUUAGCUAGUUGGUAAGGUAACGGCUUACCAAGGCAACGAUGCAUAGCCGACCUGAGAGGGUGAUCGGCCAGACUGGAACUGAGACACGGUCCAGACUCCUACGGGAGGCAGCAGUAGGGAAUCUUCCGCAAUGGGCGAAAGCCUGACGGAGCAACGCCGCGUGAGUGAUGAAGGUCUUCGGAUCGUAAAACUCUGUUAUUAGGGAAGAACAUAUGUGUAAGUAACUGUGCACAUCUUGACGGUACCUAAUCAGAAAGCCACGGCUAACUACGUG
Molecule: ribosomal RNA, 497 nt
Filed under: uncultured bacterium
Lineage: Bacteria
Description: partial 16S ribosomal RNA
Rfam family: Bacterial small subunit ribosomal RNA
Source: RNAcentral